This 301-nucleotide ribosomal RNA is filed under the name uncultured Bellilinea sp. RNAcentral describes it as "bacterial SSU rRNA". It matches the Rfam family "Bacterial small subunit ribosomal RNA", at positions 494 to 795 of the family's 1533-position model. The record is from RNAcentral. Lineage: Bacteria; Bacillati; Chloroflexota; Anaerolineae; Anaerolineales; Anaerolineaceae.
CGUCUAAUCCCGUGCCACCAGGCGGGGUAAUACUGAUGGGGCAAGCGGUAAUCGGAAUCACUGGGGUUAAAGGUCAUGUAGGCGGGUUACUAAGUCAGAAGUGAAAUCCAAUAGCUUAACUAUUGAACUGCUUUUGAAACUGUUAACCUAGAGUGUGGGAGAUGUAGAUGGAAUUUCUGGUGUAGGGGUAAAAUCCGUAGAGAUCAGAAGGAAUACCGAUUGCGAAGGCGAUCUACUGGAACAUUACUGACGCUGAGAUGCGAAAGCGUGGGGAGCAAACAGGAUUAGAUACCCGGUAGUC